UGGGGAAUCUUGGACAAUGGGCGAAAGCCUGAUCCAGCGACGCCGCGUGGGGGAUGAAGCCCUUCGGGGUGUAAACCCCUGUUGCGAGGGAGGAAUAAGGCCUGGAGGAAAAUGCCAGGCCGAUGACUGUACCUCGCGAGGAAGCCCCGGCUAACUACGUGCCAGCAGCCGCGGUAAUACGUAGGGGGCGAGCGUUACCCGGAUUCACUGGGCGUAAAGCGGGUGUAGGCGGCUCGGUAAGUCGGGUGUGAAAUCCCACAGCUCAACUGUGGAAUUGCGCCCGAAACUGCUGAGCUUGGGGCCGGUAGAGGGAGACGGAACUGCCGGUGUAGGGGUGAAAUCCGUAGAUAUCGGCAGGAACGCCGGUGGGGAAGCCGGUCUCCUGGGCCGUGCCCGACGCUGAGACCCGAAAGCUAGGGGAGCAAACC
This 428-nucleotide ribosomal RNA is filed under the name Thermotoga sp. enrichment culture. RNAcentral describes it as "bacterial SSU rRNA". It matches the Rfam family "Bacterial small subunit ribosomal RNA", at positions 355 to 774 of the family's 1533-position model. Lineage: Bacteria; Thermotogati; Thermotogota; Thermotogae; Thermotogales; Thermotogaceae. The record is from RNAcentral.